RNAcentral lists this ribosomal RNA (928 nucleotides) under Saccharomycopsis vini. RNAcentral describes it as "LSU rRNA". The stretch from base 134 to 928 matches the Rfam family "Eukaryotic large subunit ribosomal RNA", at positions 1 to 815 of the family's 3401-position model. Lineage: Eukaryota; Fungi; Ascomycota; Saccharomycetes; Ascoideales; Saccharomycopsidaceae. The record is from RNAcentral.
AAAUGACUCGGCAGGUCCUUUAGUGGCUAUUUAUAGCUUUGGAGAAUUUAUUACUAGGUUUUACCAUUUUAAUAAAUACCUCUAAGCUAGGUUACUCUAGGUUAUCGGCCUAAUCAACUGUCAUCAUAAAUUUUGACCUCAAAUCAAGUAAGGAUACCCACUGAACUUAAGCAUAUCAAUAAGUGGAGGAAAAGAAACCAACAGGGAUUGCCUUAGUAACGGCGAGUGAAGCGGCAAAAGCUCAAAUUUGAAAUCUAGUACCUUCGGUGCUCGAGUUGUAAUUUGAAGAAAGUUUCCUUGGUUAGUCCUUAGCCUAUGUUCCUUGGAAUAGGACAUCAUAGAGGGUGAGAAUCCCGUAUGGCUUUGGAUCCUAUCCUUUGUAGGAAGCUUUCGAAGAGUCGAGUUGUUUGGGAAUGCAGCUCUAAGUGGGUGGUAAAUUCCAUCUAAAGCUAAAUAUUGGCGAGAGACCGAUAGCGAACAAGUACAGUGAUGGAAAGAUGAAAAGAACUCUGAAGAGAGAGUGAAAAAGUACGUGAAAUUGCUGAAAGGGAAGGGCUUUAGGUCAGACUUGGCGUUUAAUGAUUAUCUUCCCUUCUUGGGUUGUGCACUCGUUUUUCGUCGGGCCAAUAUCAGUUCUUGCGAUAGAGCACCUCUUGGAAUGUGACUUCCCUUCGGGGUUGUGUUAUAGCCUUGAGACGAUCUAUUUGCUGGGGACUGAGGACUGCGCUUUUGCUAGGAUAUUGGCGUAAUGACCUUAAGCCGCCCGUCUUGAAACACGGACCAAGGAGUCUAACGUCUAUGCGAGUGUUUGGGUGUAAAACCCGUACGCGAAAUGAAAGUGAACGUAGGUUGGGGCCCCUUGUGGGUGCACAAUCGACCGAUCCUGAUGUUUUCAGAUGGAUUUGAGUAAGAGCAUAGCUGUUGGGAC